ACAGGGUGAUCUGGCUGCGACAUCUGUCACCCCAUUGAUCACCAGGGUUGAUUUGGCUGAUCUGACUGGCUAGGCAGGUGUCCCCUUUCUCCCUCACUGCUCCAUGUGCGUCCCUCCUGCAGCUGCAAAUAGAGGAGGACCGGUCUUUGGUCAAGGGUAUACGAGUAGCUGUGCUCCCCUGCUAGAACCUCCAAACAAGCUCUAAAUGUCAUUCUUAACUCAUUUGUCUUUGUCAACACCUCUAACUUAGUCAAUAGGUGCUGUCACUGUUU
RNAcentral lists this small nuclear RNA (272 nucleotides) under Peromyscus maniculatus bairdii (prairie deer mouse). RNAcentral's name for it is "7SK RNA (ENSPEMG00000002030.2)". It matches the Rfam family "7SK RNA". Rfam says of the family: 7SK was discovered as an abundant small nuclear RNA in the mid-70s but a possible function has only recently been suggested. Two independent studies have found that 7SK RNA binds the CDK9/cyclin T complex (known as elongation factor P-TEFb). The record is from RNAcentral. Lineage: Eukaryota; Metazoa; Chordata; Mammalia; Rodentia; Cricetidae.